This 117-nucleotide non-coding RNA is filed under the name Pan paniscus (pygmy chimpanzee). The record is from Rfam by way of RNAcentral. Lineage: Eukaryota; Metazoa; Chordata; Mammalia; Primates; Hominidae. RNAcentral also lists the same sequence under 1 other name.
GCCGGGUGCGGUGGCUCACACCUGUAAUCCCAGCCCUUUGGGAGGCCGAGGCAGGUGGAUCGCCUGAGGUCAGGAGUUCGAGACCAGCCUGGCCAACAUGGUGAAACCCUGUCUCUA